Molecule: ribosomal RNA, 1336 nt
Filed under: Actinomadura sp. NTRHn4
Lineage: Bacteria; Bacillati; Actinomycetota; Actinomycetes; Streptosporangiales; Thermomonosporaceae
Description: partial 16S ribosomal RNA
Rfam family: Bacterial small subunit ribosomal RNA
Source: RNAcentral
GUGAGUAACACGUGAGCAACCUGCCCCUGACUCUGGGAUAAGCCCGGGAAACUGGGUCUAAUACCGGAUAUGACCACCGAUCGCAUGGUCUGGUGGUGGAAAGUUUUUCGGUUGGGGAUGGGCUCGCGGCCUAUCAGCUUGUUGGUGGGGUGAUGGCCUACCAAGGCGACGACGGGUAACCGGCCUGAGAGGGCGACCGGUCACACUGGGACUGAGACACGGCCCAGACUCCUACGGGAGGCAGCAGUGGGGAAUAUUGCGCAAUGGGCGAAAGCCUGACGCAGCGACGCCGCGUGAGGGAUGACGGCCUUCGGGUUGUAAACCUCUUUCAGCAGGGACGAAGCUAACGUGACGGUACCUGCAGAAGAAGCGCCGGCUAACUACGUGCCAGCAGCCGCGGUAAUACGUAGGGCGCAAGCGUUGUCCGGAAUUAUUGGGCGUAAAGAGCUCGUAGGCGGUCUGUCGCGUCGGUUGUGAAAGCCCACAGCUUAACUGUGGGUCUGCAUCCGAUACGGGCAGACUAGAGGCAGGUAGGGGAGCAUGGAAUUCCCGGUGUAGCGGUGAAAUGCGCAGAUAUCGGGAGGAACACCGGUGGCGAAGGCGGUGCUCUGGGCCUGUACUGACGCUGAGGAGCGAAAGCGUGGGGAGCGAACAGGAUUAGAUACCCUGGUAGUCCACGCCGUAAACGUUGGGCGCUAGGGUGUGGGGGUCCUUCCACGGAUUCCGCGCCGUAGCUAACGCAUUAAGCGCCCCGCCUGGGGGAGUACGGCCGCAAGGCUAAAACUCAAAGGAAUUUGACGGGGGCCCGCACAAGCGGCGGGAGCAUGUUGCCUUAAUUCGACGCAACGCGAAGAACCUUACCAAGGCUUGACAUCGCCGGAAACAUCAAAAAAAUGGGGGGGUCCUUUUGGGCCGGUGACAGGGUGUGGCAUGGCUGUCGUCAGCUCGUGUCCUGGAAAAUUUUUGGGUUAAAUCCCGCAACGAGCGCAACCCUCGUUCCAUGUUGCAGCACGUUAAUUGGUGGGGGAAUUCUUGGGAAAACCGCCCGGGUCACUCCGAAGAAAAAGGGUGGGGGAUAGAAGUCCAAGUCAUCCUUGCCCCCUUAUGUCCUUGGGGUUGCAACAAUGCUUCCAAUGGGCCGGGUAAAAAAGGGUUGCGAUACCCCCCAAGGGGGGAGCCGAAUCCCUUUAAACCGGGGUUCUUUUUUCGAAAUUGGAGGGUCGGGCAAUCCGACCCCCAUCAAAAUCGGGAGUCCCCUGUUAUUUCCAAAAUACAAAAAACCCCCGGGGGGAAAAAAUUUCCCGGGGCCCUGUUUAAACCCCCCCCGUCCCUUUUC